Molecule: ribosomal RNA, 527 nt
Filed under: uncultured bacterium
Lineage: Bacteria
Description: bacterial SSU rRNA
Rfam family: Bacterial small subunit ribosomal RNA
Source: RNAcentral
AAUAGAUACCCAGGUAGUCCACGCCCUAAACGAUGUCAACUAGCUGUUGGGUCUUCGGACCUUGGUAGCGCAGCUAACGCGUGAAGUUGACCGCCUGGGAAGUACGGUCGCAAGAUUAAAACUCAAAGGAAUUGACGGGGACCCGCACAAGCGGUGGAUGAUGUGGAUUAAUUCGAUGCAACGCGAAAAACCUUACCUACCCUUGACAUGUCUGGAAUCCCGAAGAGAUUUGGGAGUGCUCGCAAGAGAACCGGAACACAGGUGCUGCAUGGCUGUCGUCAGCUCGUGUCGUGAGAUGUUGGGUUAAGUCCCGCAACGAGCGCAACCCUUGUCAUUAGUUGCUACGAAAGGGCACUCUAAUGAGACUGCCGGUGACAAACCGGAGGAAGGUGGGGAUGACGUCAAGUCCUCAUGGCCCUUAUGGGUAGGGCUUCACACGUCAUACAAUGGUCGGGACAGAGGGUCGCCAACCCGCGAGGGGGAGCCAAUCCCAGAAACCCGAUCGUAGUCCGGAUCGCAGUCUGCAA